RNAcentral lists this ribosomal RNA (504 nucleotides) under uncultured bacterium. RNAcentral describes it as "partial 16S ribosomal RNA". It matches the Rfam family "Bacterial small subunit ribosomal RNA", at positions 30 to 523 of the family's 1533-position model. The record is from RNAcentral.
AUUGAACGCUGGCGGCAUGCCUUACACAUGCAAGUCGAACGGCAGCAUGGAGAGCUUGCUCUCUGAUGGCGAGUGGCGAACGGGUGAGUAAUGCAUCGGAACGUACCGUGUAAUGGGGGAUAACGUAGCGAAAGUUACGCUAAUACCGCAUACGACCUGAGGGUGAAAGCAGGGGAUCGCAAGACCUUGCGUUAUACGAGCGGCCGAUGUCAGAUUAGCUAGUUGGUGAGGUAAAGGCUCACCAAGGCGACGAUCGGUAGCGGGUCUGAGAGGAUGAUCGGACACACUGGGACUGAGACACGGCCCAGACUCCCACGGGAGGCAGCAGUGGGGAAGUUUGGCCAAUGGGGGCAACCCUGAUCCAGCCAUGCCGCGUGAGUGAAGAAGGCCUUCGGGUUGUAAAGCUCUUUCGGCCGGGAAGAAAUCGCACAGGCUAAUACUCUGUGUGGAUGACGGUACCGGCAUAAGAAGCACCGGCUAACUACGUGCUAGCCGCCGCCGUAA